This is a long non-coding RNA of Zingiber officinale, 1040 nucleotides long. RefSeq lists it as uncharacterized. NCBI's taxonomy places the organism in Eukaryota, Viridiplantae, Streptophyta, Magnoliopsida, Zingiberales, Zingiberaceae. The record is from RefSeq and is a predicted model, not a curated record. The transcript has 2 exons.
UUCUUCCUCUUCUUCCCUUCUCUCGCGCCAUCUUCUUCUCUUCAUCUUCCCCAAACCGUCGUCGCCAACGCCUCCUCUUCUCCCCUCCCCGCGUUCAUAACCCCCGGCCAAAGGAAAGCCUGAAGCCCUAACAUCACUUUCCCCUUCUCUACCCCCAUCGCUGCCUCGUCGUAGAGAUUCCGAUCGUGCCAUCUCCUACUUGCGCCGAUCAACAUCCGCGCUGCGCUACCCUUCACCGGAGCAGUGACAUUGCCGUUCUUGCUGUGCCCUAGCCGCAGUAACCGGUGCCCUAGUUUUCUUUCUCGCCGCGAGCCAUAGUGUCGAGUGCCACGCGAUCUUUCCUCUUCAGGUCAUGGAUAGAAGCCGAGCAUCCGAGUUGAUCUCUCGCCGGUGCCCUAGCCACUGCCACUGUGAGGACUGAGCCGGUCAUCGCCGACGCGGCUAGCCUCGACCCAUCCCUCUUCUCUUGAUUUUCUCCGAGUCAUGCCCUAAUCACUGGUUGCUACCGCCACUUAUCAUCGCCGCCCAACGCCUGAGUGGGUUGAUACAACAGAUUUGGUUUUGACCAGCCACUGUUGCUUGCUAUCAUCACCGGCGAUUGAGGAGGAAGAGCUAAUGGAAGCUAUUUUGUUGUUGGUUUGUGAUAGUGAAUAGAUUUCUUGAUUGCUUUCUUGAUCUCCUUUUGAUCUGGGCAUUGAGGAGGUUUCCAGCAGAGUAGUGGUGUUUCUAGGUAUUCCCAGCAGCUGCGAUCUCCGGCCGCGAGUCAACAGUGGUGGCUUGAGUUGAGGUAAGAGGUGGAGGAAUUUACCCUUGCUGUAGCUUACACCUAAAAUUGAAAUUAGGAAGAUUAGAAAUGAUAGACCCAAGUGGUUGUCUUGAUAGUUAAGGUUAAUGGAGCUGACCCUAAUUAACUUGUGAGUUAUACUUAACUAGGGAUUAAAUAAUGGAUUUCAUCUAAGCUUCGGGUUAGACUCGAUUAUGUAGCUAAUCGAGAUAUAAUGGAAGGAUUAGGGAUCUUGAUAAAUAAGAAUUUGAUUUAA